This 73-nucleotide transfer RNA is filed under the name Gossypium arboreum. It matches the Rfam family "tRNA". Rfam says of the family: Transfer RNA (tRNA) molecules are approximately 80 nucleotides in length. Their secondary structure includes four short double-helical elements and three loops (D, anti-codon, and T loops). Further hydrogen bonds mediate the characteristic L-shaped molecular structure. tRNAs have two regions of fundamental functional importance: the anti-codon, which is responsible for specific mRNA codon recognition, and the 3' end, to which the tRNAs corresponding amino acid is attached (by aminoacyl-tRNA synthetases). tRNAs cope with the degeneracy of the genetic code in two manners: having more than one tRNA (with a specific anti-codon) for a particular amino acid; and 'wobble' base-pairing, i.e. permitting non-standard base-pairing at the 3rd anti-codon position. The record is from Rfam by way of RNAcentral. Lineage: Eukaryota; Viridiplantae; Streptophyta; Magnoliopsida; Malvales; Malvaceae.
AUUAUUUGUGUGUAAUGAUAAGACAUAUUACACUUUUAAUGGGAGGACAUAAGUUCAAAUCUUGUAGACAAUA